RNAcentral lists this ribosomal RNA (503 nucleotides) under uncultured bacterium. Its description in RNAcentral is "partial 16S ribosomal RNA". It matches the Rfam family "Bacterial small subunit ribosomal RNA", at positions 28 to 523 of the family's 1533-position model. The record is from RNAcentral.
GAUGAACGCUAGCGAUAGGCCUAACACAUGCAAGUCGAGGGGCAGCAUAGAGUAGCAAUACUUUGAUGGCGACCGGCGCACGGGUGAGUAACACGUAUGCAACCUACCUACAUCAGGGGAAUAACCCGGAGAAAUUCGGACUAAUACCGCAUAAUACAGGGAUGCCGCAUGGCAAUAUUUGUUAAAGAUUUAUCGGAUGUAGAUGGGCAUGCGUUCCAUUAGCUGGUUGGUAAGGUAACGGCUUACUAAGGCAACGAUGGAUAGGGGAACUGAGAGGUUUGUCCCCCACACUGGAACUGAGACACGGACCAGACUCCUACGGGAGGCAGCAGUGAGGAAUAUUGGUCAAUGGACGAGAGUCUGAACCAGCCAAAUCGCGUGAAGGAAGACUGCCCUACGGGUUGUAAACUUCUUUUGUACAGGAAUAAAAGUCAUUACGUGUAAUGUAUUGCAUGUACUGUACGAAUAAGCAUCGGCUAACUCCGUGCCAGCCGCCGCAGUAA